RNAcentral lists this unclassified non-coding RNA (343 nucleotides) under Hevea brasiliensis (rubber tree). Lineage: Eukaryota; Viridiplantae; Streptophyta; Magnoliopsida; Malpighiales; Euphorbiaceae. The record is from RNAcentral.
UCAGACCGUUCUAGUGCUUUGUUGACUGUACAAACUCUUAUAUCGGAAUUGUCUUCAUUACAUUUGAGGGCUGAAAAACUUGAAGCUGCAUCUUCAAAGAUAUUUGGUGGUGACAGAUCAAGGAUUCGCAAAAUAGAGGAGUUGAAGGAAACCAUAAGAGUCACUGAGGAUGCGAAACAUGUUGCAACUGGAGAGUAUGAACGGAUCAAGGAGAAUAACAGAAAUGAACUUGAAAGGCUCGGCAGAGAAAGGCGUGCUGACUUCUUGAACAUGUUGAAGGGUUUUGUUCUUAAUCAGGUGGGAUAUGCUGAGAAGAUUGCAAAUGUAUGGGCAAAGGUUGCGG